GGAAAGGUGGCGGAGUGGUCGAUCGCACCGCACUCGAAAUGCGGCAUACGGGCAACCGUAUCGGGGGUUCGAAUCCCCCCCUUUCCGCCA
This 90-nucleotide transfer RNA is filed under the name Aureimonas endophytica. Its description in RNAcentral is "tRNA-Ser". It matches the Rfam family "tRNA". Rfam says of the family: Transfer RNA (tRNA) molecules are approximately 80 nucleotides in length. The record is from RNAcentral. RNAcentral also lists the same sequence under 1 other name. Lineage: Bacteria; Pseudomonadati; Pseudomonadota; Alphaproteobacteria; Hyphomicrobiales; Aurantimonadaceae.